CUCGAUCAAUCGCCGAACCCUUCCGCUUGGAAGGGACGGGGGACCCAGGUGUUUGGGGUGAAUGUCAGGUCUUGAUCUGACAAGGGCGAUACGGACGCCCUAACCCGACAGCUAACCUCGCAGGCGUUCGCCGGGAAACAGU
RNAcentral lists this small RNA (142 nucleotides) under Candidatus Lindowiibacteriota. RNAcentral describes it as "Candidatus Lindowbacteria c-di-AMP sequence". It matches the Rfam family "c-di-AMP riboswitch aptamer (ydaO/yuaA leader)". Rfam says of the family: This family represents a conserved RNA structure found upstream of the ydaO and yuaA genes in Bacillus subtilis and related genes in other bacteria. The ydaO/yuaA element is thought to act as a genetic "off" switch for the ydaO and yuaA genes in its native state. The record is from RNAcentral.